Anguilla anguilla (European eel) is the source of this 284-nucleotide long non-coding RNA. RefSeq lists it as uncharacterized. The record is from RefSeq and is a predicted model, not a curated record. The transcript has 3 exons. Lineage: Eukaryota; Metazoa; Chordata; Actinopteri; Anguilliformes; Anguillidae.
UCGUCAGACAAUCAGGAUUCAUAUCCCCACUCUACCACCAACCUGGAGACCAGAUCUUGGCUGAUCGGGGAUUUACCCUUCAGGAGGACUUCGCUCUGUUAGGUGUCAGUCUAAUUACCCCAGCGUUCACCAAAGGGAUGAAGCAGCUGUCGGGGAGAGAGGUUGAAGAAUCCAGGGUGAAAUCCAACGUUCGGAUACAUAUUGAGCCUGUGAUCGGCGCCUUGAAGAACAGAUUUCACAUCCUCGACGGCCCACUUCCUGUACAGUUUGUGAAGUCUCUGCGG